This 419-nucleotide ribosomal RNA is filed under the name uncultured ammonia-oxidizing beta proteobacterium. RNAcentral's name for it is "bacterial SSU rRNA". It matches the Rfam family "Bacterial small subunit ribosomal RNA", at positions 197 to 597 of the family's 1533-position model. Lineage: Bacteria; Pseudomonadati; Pseudomonadota; Betaproteobacteria. The record is from RNAcentral.
UGGAGAAAAGCAGGGGAUCGUAAGACCUUGCGCUUUUGGAGCGGCCGAUGUCUGAUUAGCUAGUUGGUGGGGUAAUGGCCUACCAAAGCUUCGAUCAGUAGCUGGUCUGAGAGGACGGCCAGCCACACUGGGACUGAGACACGGCCCAGACUCCUACGGGAGGCAGCAGUGGGGAAUUUUGGACAAUGGGCGCAAGCCUGAUCCAGCCAUGCCGCGUGAGUGAAGAAGGCCUUCGGGUUGUAAAGCUCUUUCAGCCGGGAAGAAAAGGCUGCGACUAAUAAUCGCAGUUCAUGACGGUACCGGAAGAAGAAGCACCGGCUAACUACGUGCCAGCAGCCGCGGUAAUACGUAGGGUGUGAGCGUUAAUCGGAAUUACUGGGCGUAAAGGGUGCGCAGGCGGUUUUGUAAGUCAGAUGUGA